UAAGCAUAUCAAUAAGCGGAGGAAAAGAAACCAACAGGGAUUGCCCCAGUAACGGCGAGUGAAGCGGCAACAGCUCAAAUUUGAAAUCUGGCCCCCAGGGCCCGAGUUGUAAUUUGCAGAGGAUGCUUUUGGCGCGGUGCCUUCCGAGUUCCCUGGAACGGGACGCCAUAGAGGGUGAGAGCCCCGUCUGGUCGGACACCAAGCCAGUGUAAAGCUCCUUCGACGAGUCGAGUAGUUUGGGAAUGCUGCUCUAAAUGGGAGGUAUAUGUCUUCUAAAGCUAAAUACCGGCCAGAGACCGAUAGCGCACAAGUAGAGUGAUCGAAAGAUGAAAAGCACUUUGAAAAGAGGGUUAAACAGUACGUGAAAUUGUUGAAAGGGAAGCGUUUAUGACCAGACUUGGGCCCGGUGAAUCAUCCAGCGUUCUCGCUGGUGCACUUCGCCGGGCCCAGGCCAGCAUCAGUUCGCCGCGGGGGAUAAAAGCUUCGGGAACGUGGCUCCCUCGGGAGUGUUAUAGCCCGUUGCAUAAUACCCUGUGGCGGACUGAGGUUCGCGCUCCGCAAGGAUGCUGGCGUAAUGGUCAUCAGCGACCCGUCUUGAAACACGGACCAAGGAGUCGUCUUCGUAUGCGAGUGUUCGGGUGUAAAACCCCUACGCGUAAUGAAAGUGAACGCAGGUGAGAGCUUCGGCGCAUCAUCGACCGAUCCUGAUGUUCUCGGAUGGAUUUGAGUAAGAGCAUACGGGGCCGGACCCGAAAGAAGGUGAACUAUGCCUGUAUAGGGUGAAGCCAGAGGAAACUCUGGUGGAGGCUCGCAGCGGUUCUGACGUGCAAAUCGAUCGUCAAAUAUGGGCAUGGGGGCGAAAGACUAAUCGAACCUUCUAGUAGCUGGUUUCCGCCGAAG
Molecule: ribosomal RNA, 900 nt
Filed under: Tolypocladium pseudoalbum
Lineage: Eukaryota; Fungi; Ascomycota; Sordariomycetes; Hypocreales; Ophiocordycipitaceae
Description: Tolypocladium sp. QZW-2022a partial large subunit ribosomal RNA
Rfam family: Eukaryotic large subunit ribosomal RNA
Source: RNAcentral